RNAcentral lists this long non-coding RNA (1304 nucleotides) under Panax ginseng (ginseng). Its description in RNAcentral is "long non-coding RNA (PGIN_LNC004702)". The record is from RNAcentral. Lineage: Eukaryota; Viridiplantae; Streptophyta; Magnoliopsida; Apiales; Araliaceae.
GUGACGCCCCCAAAAUAGGUAUACAACACCCAUUCUGAGUCGCCAAAAUACAUGGUAUAGAAAGCAAACUACAACUUUGACAAUACAGAUGUCGUGUAGAAUACGACAAUACAACUGUGAGUUUGAAUACAAAUAUUGUCUUCUAGACAAUAUACACACCCAAAUAAGUCCUCAUUAAUUAUUCAUACACUAUUUUACAGAAAUAGUGAGGACAGCUAAAACAUCUUCCUAGAACCAUCACUCCAUACCCCGACUCGAUCCUGCUAUGUUCUCACCUCCUGAGAAGAAAAAUGGAACAAAAAGGAAAAGGGUGAGCUCAACUAGCCCAGUAAAGAAUAUUAUGACUAAGAUAAUAUACAACAAAUUAUCGUUAGUCUUCAACAGGGAAAAAUCUAAUAGAAUACAAUAGACAACAAGUUUUAGAUCAACAAAUGCAGCGGAAACAGCAAUCCAUUAGAAGAGUCACGUAGAGAAAGAAUUCUACUGUCUUCUAAGGUUUAAAAGUCCAUCAUCAAUAGUUUAUCCCUGUAAUAACAAUCAAUAUACAUCUUUAAUCAUCUUUGCACUACAGGCCAAAGAUAUUCAUUUGUAUCACCAGUUGGUCAUGUUCAUCUCAACACCUGUUCAUCUUUGCACUACAGGCCAAAGAUAUUCAUCAGUUAAUCGUUCAUCUUUGCACUACAGGCCAAAGAUAUUCAUUUAUAUCACCAUUUAGGACUGAGGAUGAUGAAAAACAUUUUUAAAGAAACGAAUCCAGUGAAACAAAAUGACAAGGAUUAAGGAUUAAGGAUUCGUACUUUGUUUUACCCAUGUCCAAAAAUACUUCGAAAAUAAUCAUAUUGGUGUAAAAUUCAAGAAUGAUCAAAACAUGGAUACAAUCAAAGCUAGUAUCCAGAAUAGAUAUUUUGGACAAAAAGAAAAAUUUUUAUUUUUCGGUGAAUAGUGCCGUAUUCGUGAAUAGUGUCGUAUACGUGAAUAGUGCCGUAUACGUGAAUAGUAACCCCGACACAACAAGUUCCAAAUUUGAUAAAAAAGUUCACCAAUACUUCGGCAUAAUGAUAUUGAAAAAAAAAUAUCAUUUAAGAAGAAAAUAAUACCCCUUACCUCAAAAUAAUCGUACUUCUGACUGAAUUUCGGUAUAGUGCUGACAGAAACCCGCACCGUAUAGCAACACUCAAAGUAUACUCACAAGAAUACGCUCGAUAAUUUAGAGAGAGAAAGAGAGAAAACUUAGUUUCUGGUGUGAUUUUCAAUUCUAACUUAGCCCUCUAUUUAUAGGAAAAUGUUAGAACGCCAAAGGAGAC